Molecule: long non-coding RNA, 510 nt
Organism: Ostrinia furnacalis (Asian corn borer)
Lineage: Eukaryota; Metazoa; Arthropoda; Insecta; Lepidoptera; Crambidae
Exons: 2
Source: RefSeq, a predicted model, not a curated record
CGGCGAGGUGUUAAGUAUGAUAGCGCGAUGCGUAAAUGUGAUCUAAUGAAAAUAAUUGACGAGUAAAACACGGAGAAACAGUACACAAUUGAUAACAUAUUACAGGAAAAUGGACAUAUCGUGCUUCGCUUGCCCCCAUACCAUCCGGAUUUAAAUCCAAUAGAACUCGUGUGGUGGUACGUAAAAGUCGAGCUUGCAAGGACUUCCAUUGAUUCUAACUUGGAUAAAAAGUUAAAAGAUUUAGAAUUGCUUUUUUCUAAUUAUUCGGUUGAACAUUGGCGCGAUUGUGAUAAUCACGUCAUAAAAAACGAGGAAAAAUAUUAUAAUUCAGAUAGAGUAUGCGACGAUGAAAUGGACAGAUUCAUAAUUCAACUGAAUGAAAACGACGAUGAUGAUGACGACGAAAGUGAUGAAGAAGAUCAAACAGAGAGUGAACAGGAAAGUGAUAUGGAAAUUGAUUUAUAAUAAAACAUUCUAUCAUAAUUUUAGUUUUUAUAAUUAUUUGCACUC